UAUCGUGACCAUAGAAUAUCUAAUACAACCACUAUGGUAGAUAUGGCCGUGGUCAUAGAUCAUACCGUGGUUUGGCAAGCCGAAAAUGUGCCUGAGCAAAUUGUCGUUAUUUGUAUCUGAUCUGGUUAUUCUACAUGGGUAGUUGGAAAUCUGUAUCUGCCUUUAGAGAUGGAAGUCAUAAAGAUUUUGUGAAGUAUGACAUGAAAAUCUGAGCAUCUCAUGAAUUAUUUGAUUUUCUCUGUUAUCUGGUAUGCUGUGUGUUUGUCUUGAUUAUAUUAACGUG
RNAcentral lists this long non-coding RNA (283 nucleotides) under Carica papaya (papaya). Its description in RNAcentral is "long non-coding RNA (CPAP_LNC013246)". Lineage: Eukaryota; Viridiplantae; Streptophyta; Magnoliopsida; Brassicales; Caricaceae. The record is from RNAcentral.